GAGUUUGAUUCUGGCUCAGAGUGAACGCUGGCGGCGUGCCUAAUACAUGCAAGUCGAACGGUAACAGGAAGUAGCUUGCUACUUUGCUGAUUAGUGGCGCACGGGUGAGUAAUGCAUAGGUCAUGUGCCCCAUAGUCUGGGAUAGCCACUGGAAACGGUGAUUAAUACUGGAUACUCCCGAGAGGGGAAAGUUUUUCGCUAUGGGAUCAGCCUAUGUCCUAUCAGCUUGUUGGUGAGGUAAUGGCUCACCAAGGCUAUGACGGGUAUCCGGCCUGAGAGGGUGAACGGACACACUGGAACUGAGACACGGUCCAGACUCCUACGGGAGGCAGCAGUAGGGAAUAUUGCUCAAUGGGGGAAACCCUGAAGCAGCAACGCCGCGUGGAGGAUGAAGGUCUUCGGAUUGUAAACUCCUUUUCUAAGAGAAGAUUAUGACGUUCU
This 441-nucleotide ribosomal RNA is filed under the name Wolinella sp. canine oral taxon 173. Its description in RNAcentral is "bacterial SSU rRNA". It matches the Rfam family "Bacterial small subunit ribosomal RNA", at positions 9 to 460 of the family's 1533-position model. Lineage: Bacteria; Pseudomonadati; Campylobacterota; Epsilonproteobacteria; Campylobacterales; Helicobacteraceae. The record is from RNAcentral.